AUACCUUUCUCGACUUUUGACUAAGAUAAAAUGUAGUAUUUAUUUUUAGCACUUUAAUAUCUGAUAUGUGGAUCAUAUGUCCACUUUGAUAUUAAAUUUAUUUUUAUGGAUAUUUUUGUGGGGGAGAAUCCACCAUACUGGCUUGUCAUUUGGCCCUCACAUGCAUGUCUAUGAUCUGUUGCACUGCAAUAUGAUUGUAUGUCGUCGCA
Molecule: small nuclear RNA, 209 nt
Filed under: Zea mays
Lineage: Eukaryota; Viridiplantae; Streptophyta; Magnoliopsida; Poales; Poaceae
Description: U2 spliceosomal RNA
Rfam family: U2 spliceosomal RNA
About the family: U2 is a small nuclear RNA (snRNA) component of the spliceosome (involved in pre-mRNA splicing). Complementary binding between U2 snRNA (in an area lying towards the 5' end but 3' to hairpin I) and the branchpoint sequence (BPS) of the intron results the bulging out of an unpaired adenosine, on the BPS, which initiates a nucleophilic attack at the intronic 5' splice site, thus starting the first of two transesterification reactions that mediate splicing.
Source: Rfam by way of RNAcentral